Long non-coding RNA from Solea senegalensis (Senegalese sole), 243 nucleotides. RefSeq lists it as uncharacterized. The transcript is spliced from 3 exons. NCBI's taxonomy places the organism in Eukaryota, Metazoa, Chordata, Actinopteri, Pleuronectiformes, Soleidae. The record is from RefSeq and is a predicted model, not a curated record.
CGUUCAUCAAGGGUCAAGUGUUUUCCCCUACAAAAAACUACUGAAACAAAGAGUCAGAGAGGGCUGUGUUGAGGUGUUGGUGCAGUGGCAACCUUGCUCUGGAUGUGGAGCAAAUGGAAAAACUCCUGGGAGGCCAAAGACAACCUUCAAACUUGACCAGUUUGUUUAGCUACUUUGUUUCCAGUCUUGGGAAGGUGUAAAAAUUGUAUUAAGUAAUGCCAAAUAUAUUGUUUUACUCUCCAA